CGUGCCAGCAGCCGCGGUAAUACGUAGGGUGCGAGCGUUAAUCGGAAUUACUGGGCGUAAAGCGAGCGCAGACGGUUACUUAAGCAGGAUGUGAAAUCCCCGGGCUCAACCUGGGAACUGCGUUCUGAACUGGGUGACUAGAGUGUGUCAGAGGGAGGUAGAAUUCCACGUGUAGCAGUGAAAUGCGUAGAGAUGUGGAGGAAUACCGAUGGCGAAGGCAGCCUCCUGGGAUAACACUGACGUUCAUGCUCGAAAGCGUGGGUAGCAAACAGGAUUAGAUACCCUGGUAGUCCACGCCCUAAACGAUGUCAAUUAGCUGUUGGGCAACUUGAUUGCUUAGUAGCGUAGCUAACGCGUGAAAUUGACCGCCUGGGGAGUACGGUCGCAAGAUUAAAACUCAAAGGAAUUGACGGGGACCCGCACAAGCGGUGGAUGAUGUGGAUUAAUUCGAUGCAACGCGAAGAACCUUACCUGGUCUUGACAU
RNAcentral lists this ribosomal RNA (484 nucleotides) under uncultured bacterium. Its description in RNAcentral is "bacterial SSU rRNA". It matches the Rfam family "Bacterial small subunit ribosomal RNA", at positions 504 to 987 of the family's 1533-position model. The record is from RNAcentral.